RNAcentral lists this ribosomal RNA (459 nucleotides) under uncultured bacterium. Its description in RNAcentral is "partial 16S ribosomal RNA". It matches the Rfam family "Bacterial small subunit ribosomal RNA", at positions 338 to 795 of the family's 1533-position model. The record is from RNAcentral.
CCUACGGGCGGCAGCAGUGAGGAAUAUUGGUCCAUGGGCGCGAGCCUGAACCAGCCAAGUCGCGUGAGGGAAGACGGUCCUAUGGAUUGUAAACCUCUUUUGUCGGGGAGCAAAAGACGCCACGCGUGGCGUUCCGAGAGUACCCGAAGAAAAAGCAUCGGCUAACUCCGUGCCAGCAGCCGCGGUAAUACGGAGGAUGCGAGCGUUAUCCGGAUUUAUUGGGUUUAAAGGGUGGGCGGGGGGAAUGUAAAGUCAGCGGUAAAAUUGAGAGGCUCAACCUCUUCGAGCCGUUGAAACUGGUUGUCUUGAGUGAGUGAGAGGUAUGCGGAAUGCGUGGUGUAGCGGUGAAAUGCAUAGAUAUCACGAAGAACUCCGAUUGCGAAGGCAGCAUACCGGCGCUCAACUGACGCUCAUGCACGAAAGUGUGGGUAUCGAACAGGAUUAGAUACCCGAGUAGUC